This 212-nucleotide ribosomal RNA is filed under the name Clostridioides difficile. RNAcentral describes it as "partial 16S ribosomal RNA". It matches the Rfam family "Bacterial small subunit ribosomal RNA", at positions 338 to 542 of the family's 1533-position model. Lineage: Bacteria; Bacillati; Bacillota; Clostridia; Peptostreptococcales; Peptostreptococcaceae. The record is from RNAcentral.
CCUACGGGGGGCUGCAGUAGGGAAUCUUCGGCAAUGGACGAAAGUCUGACCGAGCAACGCCGCGUGAGUGAAGAAGGUUUUCGGAUCGUAAAACUCUGUUGUUAGAGAAGAACAAGGACGUUAGUAACUGAACGUCCCCUGACGGUAUCUAACCAGAAAGCCACGGCUAACUACGUGCCAGCAGCCGCGGUAAUACGUAGGUGGCAAGCGUU